This 468-nucleotide ribosomal RNA is filed under the name uncultured bacterium. RNAcentral's name for it is "partial 16S ribosomal RNA". It matches the Rfam family "Bacterial small subunit ribosomal RNA", at positions 28 to 507 of the family's 1533-position model. The record is from RNAcentral.
GACGAACGCUGGCGGCGUGCUUAACACAUGCAAGUCGAACGGAAAGGCCCUGCUUUUGUGGGGUGCUCGAGUGGCGAACGGGUGAGUAACACGUGAGUAACCUGCCCUUGACUUUGGGAUAACUUCAGGAAACUGGGGCUAAUACCGGAUAGGAGCUCCUGCUGCAUGGUGGGGGUUGGAAAGUUUCGGCGGUUGGGGAUGGACUCGCGGCUUAUCAGCUUGUUGGUGGGGUAGUGGCUUACCAAGGCAUUGACGGGUAGCCGGCCUGAGAGGGUGACCGGCCACAUUGGGACUGAGAUACGGCCCAGACUCCUACGGGAGGCAGCAGUGGGGAAUAUUGCACAAUGGGCGGAAGCCUGAUGCAGCAACGCCGCGUUCGGGAUGACGGCCUUCGGGUUGUAAACCGCUUUCGCCUGUGACGAAGCGUGAGUGACGGUAAUGGGUAAAGAAGCACCGGCUAACUACGUG